Molecule: unclassified non-coding RNA, 406 nt
Filed under: plant metagenome
Description: partial contains small subunit ribosomal RNA and internal transcribed spacer 1
Source: RNAcentral
AAUGUCGUAACAAGGUUUCCGUAGGUCAAGUUUAGCCUGCCACAGCGGGUCAACCUCGCUAGUCUCCGCUGGAGGCGACACGCUCAACCUGUGGGAAGGCCCGUCCCGGGAAACUCCACAGCCCACUUCCCUCGCCCGGAAGUCGGUUUAGAGGCUCAAUGAGCGUGGGUGCUGAUCUCAGCGCUUGAGAUAGAGUCCGUCCCAGCUGGUAACCGCUGGGGGCCGAACGGAACCUGCGGAAGGAUCAUUACAGAAUUGACGGCUUUACGAAGCCAGAUUCUCACCCCCGACUGUAGGUGCGCGAUUCGUCUUGCUUUGGCCUUGGGCCGGGUCCUGGCCUGGCCUGGCCCUGCAGAGGGUAAAAGCCCCUUGAAUCUCUGCAGUCUGAGCACGAUAAAUAGUCAAA